RNAcentral lists this ribosomal RNA (392 nucleotides) under uncultured eukaryote. RNAcentral's name for it is "partial 18S ribosomal RNA". It matches the Rfam family "Eukaryotic small subunit ribosomal RNA", at positions 592 to 976 of the family's 1831-position model. The record is from RNAcentral.
CAAUAGCGUAUACUAAAGUUGUUGCGAUUAAAAAGCUCGUAGUUGGAUCUCAGGCAUGGGCGCACGGUCCGCCUCGCGGCGGUCACUGUGUGUUUUGUUUCCCAUCCUACGCUUCCCGGUUAUCAGCCCAUGGUGCUCUUAACUGAGCGUUUUGGGUGGCCGGAACGUUUACUUUGAAGAAAUUAGAGUGUUCAAAGCAGGCACGUUGCCUGAAUAAUGGUGCAUGGAAUAAUGGAAUAGGACCUCGGUUCUAUUUUGCUGGUUUUCGGAACACGAGGUAAUGAUUAAGAGGGACAGACGGGGGCAUCCGUAUUGCGGUGUUAGAGGUGAAAUUCUUGGAUCAUCGCAAGACGAACAACUGCGAAAGCAUUUGCCAAGCAUGUUUUCAUUAG